GAGGUGAUGAUCUGAUCUAGGGGUUAUAAUGAGUAUAUAUAGGCAUCCAAAACCCUAGGGUAAUCAGAUUAGGGUUUCUAGAAGCCCAAAUCCACCAGAAAUUAGGUUAAAACAAUCAGAUUUUUAGUGGGAAUAAGGCCUAAGGUGCGGCUAGGGUUAGGGUUUAGAGAUGGGCCUAUGGUGCGGCAAUGUCCAAGAAUGUAAGGAUGGGUCAUCUAGAAGCCCAAAGCCAAGAAUAGAAACUCUCACAAAUGGAAACCUCCAAGAAUAGAAACUUCCAACUUUAGAAACUUUGGGUUCUAAUUCUGAAUUCUUUGUUCUUCACUUUCAUUUCUUCAUUUCUUAAGCUCCCUUUGACCUUCAACUCGUCCAUUCCUUGUGCUCCAUAAGUAAAAACGCCAUUUUAGCUCAAUUAUGCUCCAUUUUGCACUUCCUUGCAUACUUUGUCUCUAAAACCUGAAAACACAUAAAACUAGCUUAAAAGACUACGUUAACUAAGAAAACACCAUGGAAAUGCAUAAGAACUAGCUAACUAAGGCGCAUAAAUAUGCUCCUAUCAUUAGGUACUCAAAACUGCCCAGAAAGUGGUUUUAAGGCAGUUUUGAGCCUUUUAGUUGCUGUUUUGAG
RNAcentral lists this long non-coding RNA (627 nucleotides) under Malus domestica (apple). RNAcentral describes it as "long non-coding RNA (MDOM_LNC019889)". The record is from RNAcentral. Lineage: Eukaryota; Viridiplantae; Streptophyta; Magnoliopsida; Rosales; Rosaceae.